AUCCUGGCUCAGAUUGAACGCUGGCGGCAUGCCUUACACAUGCAAGUCGAACGGCAGCGGGCCUUCGGGUGCCGGCGAGUGGCGAACGGGUGAGUAAUGCAUCGGAACGUGCCAUUGAGUGGGGGAUAACGUAGCGAAAGUUACGCUAAUACCGCAUAUUCUGUGAGCAGGAAAGCAGGGGAUCGCAAGACCUUGCGCUGAUUGAGCGGCCGAUGUCAGAUUAGCUAGUUGGUGAGGUAAAGGCUCACCAAGGCGACGAUCUGUAGCGGGUCUGAGAGGAUGAUCCGCCACACUGGAACUGAGACACGGUCCAGACUCCUACGGGAGGCAGCAGUGGGGAAUUUUGGACAAUGGGGCAACCCUGAUCCAGCCAUGCCGCGUGAGUGAAGAAGGCCUUCGGGUUGUAAAGCUCUUUCGGCCGGGAAGAAAUCGCAUGGGUUAAUACCCUGUGCGGAUGACGGUACCGGCAUAAGAAGCACCGGCUAACUACGUG
Molecule: ribosomal RNA, 493 nt
Filed under: uncultured bacterium
Lineage: Bacteria
Description: bacterial SSU rRNA
Rfam family: Bacterial small subunit ribosomal RNA
Source: RNAcentral